GGCACUUUUAGAAAUGUGCUGACAGAUGUAAGUCCGACGUGCUUCACCGCACGGCCUCAACCAAGGCUUUGGGAUUAC
This 78-nucleotide non-coding RNA is filed under the name unclassified sequences. RNAcentral's name for it is "S15-Methanomicrobia ribosomal protein leader". It matches the Rfam family "S15-Methanomicrobia ribosomal protein leader". The record is from RNAcentral.